AGUUGAUAUUGUGAAAGAGAAAGGGAAAACUGUUGAUGAUAGUGUACUUGCUGAUAGGGAGUGCAGCCUCAAAAUUGAGGUCCUCUUGAAUUCUCCUCCGGUGGAAACUACGGGUGUGCUUUCUGCUAUUCUUGAUGGGUCCCCUGUUCAUGUGAUCAAGAAAGAGAUUGUUUACAAUCCUCCUAGGGGU
Non-coding RNA from Arachis ipaensis, 190 nucleotides. NCBI's taxonomy places the organism in Eukaryota, Viridiplantae, Streptophyta, Magnoliopsida, Fabales, Fabaceae. The record is from RefSeq and is a predicted model, not a curated record.